This is a long non-coding RNA of Aquila chrysaetos chrysaetos, 3466 nucleotides long. The record is from Ensembl. NCBI's taxonomy places the organism in Eukaryota, Metazoa, Chordata, Aves, Accipitriformes, Accipitridae.
AUGCACAAUAACUUAACAGCCACCCCUCAGGCGCAGCACAAGAUGCAGGGUGGAUUCCUUCUGGAUGUUGUAGUCGGACAGGGUGCGACCAUCUUCCAGCUGCUUGCCAGCAAAGAUCAGCCUCUGCUGAUCAGGGGGAAUGCCUUCCUUGUCCUGGAUCUUGGCCUUCACAUUCUCAAUGGUGUCACUGGGUUCAACCUCAAGGGUGAUGGUCUUGCCAGUCAGGGUCUUCACAAAGAUCUGCAUGCCACCCCUCAGGCGCAGCACAAGAUGGAGAGUGGAUUCCUUCUGGAUGUUGUAGUCGGACAAGGUGCGUCCAUCUUCCAGCUGCUUGCCAGCAAAGAUCAGCCUCUGCUGAUCGGGGGGAAUGCCUUCCUUGUCCUGGAUCUUGGCCUUCACAUUCUCAAUGGUGUCACUGGGUUCAACCUCAAGGGUGAUGGUCUUGCCAGUCAGGCGAUCUGAGUAUGUGUAGCAAGUUCAGUACUGUUCCUUUGUUCAGAUAAAAAUAGGGCUACUUGCCACAGGGAAAAAACAAUGUAUAUUCCUAUCUCAUAAUAUCACUCAUACCUACCUCAGGUCUCUCUCACUGUGUAUGACACAAGAUAAUUAUAUUUACCCGUUUACAGUUGUGGAGAUAAAUAUUUUCUCCCCAAACCUGUAACACUGCAAUAAGGCCCAGUCUUUGCUGAAGUUCCAGCCACAAGACAAAUAGAGCUGUGGCAUGUUACUGCUUGUCCUUGUACUGCCAAGCUCAAGGGUUACAAAAAUAGCCACAAUUCAAAGUACUGUGAGAUUGACUGUAAUAUUAUGAGAUUACCAAAAAAAGACAACUAUCUGGGUUUUGUUUUUUAAGCCUUACACUAAAAAUACCUUAAAUAAAAAAAGUUUUUAAUAGGCUGCCAACUUCAGGAGCUGAAAGCUUAAGAAAAACAAAUAGAUAUCCAGAUUUGUAGUAAAAAGAGGAAAAUGAGCAAUACUCCUCUGUCUCCCUGUUUUGUUUGUCAAAAAGCAUAUUUUGACUUCGCAGGACACAUGGGAUACAGCUUUAAGAUCUGUGCUGCCACAAUAAACAAGCUUGGGCAUGUCUUUCUCUGUAGGUCUAAAUGACCCAGAGGAACAUGUGGCAAUUCACUAGGCUUCUGAUGUAAGGAGACUUCUAAAGGGUGUUUUAUAAAGACACCAUCAGCCUAAAAUCACAGGUUUGUGUCUGCAUGUUAUACCAGCGAAAGCAACAAUUAAUAACUAGGUCUAUUCUAAAAAUUACUUGUCUGCAUCUUUUCAGUCUGCCUCCUGCGUGUGAGUCUUUUGGAUCUGCUCCAAGCUGCACUGCAGUGAAGGAGCUCUCUUUGUUCACGUUCUCUCUGCUGCGUCUGAGCUGAUUUAGCAUGUGGCUUCUGGGGUGAGGUUUUCCAGCUAGAUAGCAAAGAAGCACCUUGAAAAACAGAAAGAAGAAAUAAGUCCUAAAACACUGUUAAUCAUUAUUAAUAUGUUUCAAUAGAACCUCUUUAACAGUGAACAAAACAAACACUGUCAAGGCCAUUCUGAACAGCCUUCAUCCAUUGGCCCAGAGGUGAUACCUCCUGUAUUUUGUUUUCAGAUCCAGCUUGGAUCCCUUGAUGGCAAGGAGAAUGUCCAGAAUGCUUCCCCCUCUGCAAUAGUAAGACUAAAAUCCAAGCCCUGACAUUUUUCUCCCCUGCACAAACUAUGUAGUUUUAACUACCUCAGUUCUUUUAAGUAUGGUGUUAGCUAUACACUGCUUAUUAGACGAAAAGCAUCCACAGUUCCUGAUUCUCUUUAACCCACAAACAGUUUCAGUGUUGCUUUUGUGAUGAAAAUACCCUUGCAGACAGAAUCUCAAUGCAGGCUGCAACCCAGGUCUGCAGAGCUGAGUCACUGUUAUACAAGCAGAGCUGAGAUGGCACAGAAAAACAUCUUUGUACUUUAACAUUAAAACACGUCAGCUGUUGAACUUCGAAUAUCACAAGACACCUAAAGAGAACAAACAGUGAUUUACUGGACUUUUCCUCUUGUCCAUCCCAUCAUCUUUCUGAGUAAUUCUUCCUUCUCCAUUUUGUCUCAGAAGCUUAAGAGCAAAAGCAUUCUUCAUCAGGCUAUUGGCUUCUACUAAAGUUUGCCAAACAUUGCAUCAGAUUUGGAAGUAACCUACCAGUGAAAGAAAAGCUGUUAACUCUUUGGGCACUGGGAAACACCUGCCGCCCAGGUACACUGACAAUACAGUAUGCAACCACUGAAAUUUAGAGCUUGCAAACCAGAAUAGCAGUGAAAUUUAUAAUCAGCCAGAGAUCCACUAUAAAGCUCUUGAAUUGAUUAUUUAUAUGAGACACAGUUUUGAGCUUUAAGAGUCCUUUGUAAUAAAAUACAAAACAAAUGAAAGAGGAAGAAUUGCUUUACUAUAGCUUUCUGAAACAAAACUGCAGUUUGUUCUUCCAUUUUUGUCUUCCAGUUCUUUAUCCUGAAGCGUCAUAGGGCAACAGACUUUAACUUCUCAAAAUGCUUUCUACAUUUAAAAUAUGCUGAACUAAUUGUGGAGGGGCACAGAGAGUGAUAGAUCUGCAGAUAUUACAUGGACUGGAUAGCCACUGCAGUUUUCUCACUGGAACUGCUUUUUCAGAGUCUACAAGUGCUAGUGUCUCCUGUCUUGCAGAGUGGAGGUCAUUUGUGUGAACUGAUCGCUAACAAGCUCCUAAAAUAUGUUCUGGCUUUCAGUUUAGUGCAGUUAACUGUUUUUAGAAAAGGACAGACCAUGUAGGCUGAAACCUGCAAAUGCUGCUGGCCGUACCCAACACUGAAGGCAAAUUAAACCAUGCUGCAAACUGCAUAGGCUCAGUUUCAGUUCCUGGUCUCCAGUUUCACUUCAGUGACUUUUCCUCCCAAAAUAUAAGGUGAGUAACAUGAAAUCUAGUGUGACUAAAGGUCUGGGAGUGGCUCAGAUCAGGAGCGACAGAGGAACAUGCUGGCAUGGGCCAGAAUUUGUCACAUACGUAUGGUGUAUUAAAAUGGUUCCAUUAGGAUGAGUAACCAGUACAGAGGUUCACAUGAGGAAUAACAGGAAAUUGUAACUCAGUGCCCUUUCCUAUCAUCAGAGAAGAGAGGUGCUGAGCCACAGGAUUGUUAUGCGAGUCCUGGUAUGUGCCAUCUCAGGAGGCAGCCUACACACUGUAGUCGCAUGUUUUUAAAGCUGUUUUCCAGACCAGAGAGUGCUGAUAGCUAUUUCAUCAUUGUCCAGUUGCUUUGCUGUAUUCCUGGCUGAGACAUGACCCUUUGGUGCUUCUACCCCACAACAGACUGUCAGCUCACUUGUUUACAUCUUUCCCUGUUCCCCUUCUUGAGAGGAGCAAGACAUUAAGUCCUGUUGAAAAUACAAAUUCUUGAUUAUAACUCAAACAAAAUAAAUUUCCAGUCCUGCAACACUGGGCACAAAGAUUUGUGCUUGGACUGAUUUCUG